UGGGGAAUAUUGGACAAUGGGGGAAACCCUGAUCCAGCAAUGCCGCGUGUGUGAAGAAGGCCUGAGGGUUGUAAAGCACUUUAGGUGGGGAGGAUGGUAGAGCAGGUUAAGAGCUAGUUUUAUUGACGUUACCCGCAGAAUAAGCACCGGCUAACUCCGUGCCAGCAGCCGCGGUAAUACGGAGGGUGCAAGCGUUAAUCGGAAUUACUGGGCGUAAAGGGCGCGUAGGCGGUUUUUUAAGUCAGAUGUGCAAUCCCCGAGCUCAACUUGGGAACUGCAUCUGAGACUGGAAGGCUAGAGUACUGGAGAGGGUGGUGGAAUUCCUCGUGUAGCGGUGAAAUGCGUAGAUAUGUGGAGGAAUACCAAUGGCGAAGGCAGCCCCCUGGGAUAACACUGACGCUCAUGCACGAAAGCGUGGGGAGCAAACAGG
RNAcentral lists this ribosomal RNA (430 nucleotides) under uncultured bacterium. RNAcentral describes it as "bacterial SSU rRNA". It matches the Rfam family "Bacterial small subunit ribosomal RNA", at positions 355 to 776 of the family's 1533-position model. The record is from RNAcentral.